GACGAACCGAGCGAACGUUGUUCGGAAUCACUGGGCUUAAAGGGCGCGUAGGCGGAUUUGCAAGUCCGUGGUGAAAUCCCACAGCUCAACUGUGGAACUGCCUCGGAUACUGUGAGUCUCGAGGGUGGUAGGGGUAUGCGGAACUAUCGGUGGAGCGGUGAAAUGCGUUGAUAUCGAUAGGAACUCCGGUGGCGAAGGCGGCAUACUGGACCACUUCUGACGCUGAGGCGCGAAAGCCAGGGGAGCAAACGGGAUUAGAAACCCCCGUAGUCC
This 273-nucleotide ribosomal RNA is filed under the name uncultured bacterium. RNAcentral describes it as "partial 16S ribosomal RNA". It matches the Rfam family "Bacterial small subunit ribosomal RNA", at positions 524 to 796 of the family's 1533-position model. The record is from RNAcentral.